AUACGGAGGAUCCGAGCGUUAUCCGGAUUUAUUGGGUUUAAAGGGUGCGCAGGCGGCCAUUUAAGUCAGCGGUUAAAUCGUGGGGCUCAACCCCAUUCUGCCGUUGAUACUGGGUGGCUUGAUUGCGGUCGAGGUUGGCGGAAUUCGUUGUGUAGCGGUGAAAUGCAGAGAUAUGACGAAGAACACCGAUUGCGUAGGCAUCAGGACAGACCGGGAAUGUCGCUCAUGCACGAAAUUGCGGGGAUCGAACAGGAUUAGAUACCCUGGUCAUGCGCAGCGUAAACGAUGAAUACUUGUUUUCGGCGAUAUAAUGUCGGAGGCAAAGCGAAAGCGAUAAGUAUUCCAGCUGGGGCGUUCGCCGACAACGGUGAAACUCAAAGGAAUUGACGGGC
Molecule: ribosomal RNA, 392 nt
Filed under: uncultured bacterium
Lineage: Bacteria
Description: partial 16S ribosomal RNA
Rfam family: Bacterial small subunit ribosomal RNA
Source: RNAcentral